Molecule: ribosomal RNA, 165 nt
Filed under: uncultured bacterium
Lineage: Bacteria
Description: partial 16S rRNA
Rfam family: Bacterial small subunit ribosomal RNA
Source: RNAcentral
UAGGGAAGUCUUCCACAAUGGACGCAAGUCUGAUGGAGCAACGCCGCGUGAGUGAAGAAGGGUUUCGGCUCGUAAAGCUCUGUUGUUAAAGAAGAACGUGGGUAAGAGUAACUGUUUACCCAGUGACGGUAUUUAACCAGAAAGCCACGGCUAACUACGUGCCGG